Molecule: ribosomal RNA, 237 nt
Filed under: uncultured Smithella sp.
Lineage: Bacteria; Pseudomonadati; Thermodesulfobacteriota; Syntrophia; Syntrophales; Smithellaceae
Description: partial 16S ribosomal RNA
Rfam family: Bacterial small subunit ribosomal RNA
Source: RNAcentral
GAGACUGCCGGUGUUAAACCGGAGGAAGUGGGGAUGACGUCAAGUCCUCAUGGCCUUUAUGCCCAGGGCUACACACGUGCUACAAUGGGUGGUACAAAGAGAUGCAAUCUCGCAAGAGCAAGCAAACCUCAAAAAGCCAUCCUCAGUUCGGAUUGGAGUCUGCAACUCGACUCCAUGAAGUUGGAAUCGCUAGUAAUCGCGGAUCAGCAUGCCGCGGUGAAUACGUUCCCGGGCCUU